This 293-nucleotide ribosomal RNA is filed under the name uncultured eukaryote. RNAcentral describes it as "partial 18S ribosomal RNA". It matches the Rfam family "Eukaryotic small subunit ribosomal RNA", at positions 6 to 276 of the family's 1831-position model. The record is from RNAcentral.
GGUUGAUCCUGCCAGUAGCAUAUGCUUGUUUUAAAGAUUAAGCCAUGCAUGCGUAAGUAUAGACACUUUCUAUACCGUCGAAACUGCGAACAGCUCAUUACAUCAGUUAUAAUUUCUUUGAAGAUUAACCCUUUCUACAUGGAUACCCGUAGAAAAGCUAGAGCUAAUACAUGCGUGAAGCCCUGACUAUUUGUAAUGGAAAGGGUGUGUUUAUUAGAUUCAAACCUGCUAGAUAACUGGUCAAACAGUUGUCUUAGUUUGGUGAUUCAUGGUAACUGUUUCGGAUCGCUUGU